This 1484-nucleotide ribosomal RNA is filed under the name Salmonella sp. Its description in RNAcentral is "bacterial SSU rRNA". It matches the Rfam family "Bacterial small subunit ribosomal RNA". The record is from RNAcentral. Lineage: Bacteria; Pseudomonadati; Pseudomonadota; Gammaproteobacteria; Enterobacterales; Enterobacteriaceae.
AUUGAACGCUGGCGGCAGGCCUAACACAUGCAAGUCGAACGGUAACAGGAAGCAGCUUGCUACUUUGCUGACGAGUGGCGGACGGGUGAGUAAUGUCUGGGAAACUGCCUGAUGGAGGGGGAUAACUACUGGAAACGGUGGCUAAUACCGCAUAACGUCGCAAGACCAAAGAGGGGGACCUUCGGGCCUCCUGCCAUCAGAUGUGCCCAGAUGGGAUUAGCUUGUUGGUGAGGUAACGGCUCACCAAGGCGACGAUCCCUAGCUGGUCUGAGAGGAUGACCAGCCACACUGGAACUGAGACACGGUCCAGACUCCUACGGGAGGCAGCAGUGGGGAAUAUUGCACAAUGGGCGCAAGCCUGAUGCAGCCAUGCCGCGUGUAUGAAGAAGGCCUUCGGGUUGUAAAGUACUUUCAGCGGGGAGGAAGGUGUUGUGGUUAAUAACCGCAGCAAUUGACGUUACCCGCAGAAGAAGCACCGGCUAACUCCGUGCCAGCAGCCGCGGUAAUACGGAGGGUGCAAGCGUUAAUCGGAAUUACUGGGCGUAAAGCGCACGCAGGCGGUCUGUCAAGUCGGAUGUGAAAUCCCCGGGCUCAACCUGGGAACUGCAUUCGAAACUGGCAGGCUUGAGUCUUGUAGAGGGGGGUAGAAUUCCAGGUGUAGCGGUGAAAUGUGUAGAGAUCUGGAGGAAUACCGGUGGCGAAGGCGGCCCCCUGGACAAAGACUGACGCUCAGGUGCGAAAGCGUGGGGAGCAAACAGGAUUAGAUACACUGGUAGUCCACGCCGUAAACGAUGUCUACUUGGAGGUUGUGCCCUUGAGGCGUGGCUUCCGGAGCUAACGCGUUAAGUAGACCGCCUGGGGAGUACGGCCGCAAGGUUAAAACUCAAAUGAAUUGACGGGGGCCCGCACAAGCGGUGGAGCAUGUGGUUUAAUUCGGUGCAACGCGAAGAACCUUACCUGGUCUUGACAUCCACGGAAGAAUUCAGAGAUGGAUUUGUGCCUUCGGGAACCGUGAGACAGGUGCUGCAUGGCUGUCGUCAGCUCGUGUUGUGAAAUGUUGGGUUAAGUCCCGCAACGAGCGCAACCCUUAUCCUUUGUUGCCAGCGGUCCGGCCGGGAACUCAAAGGAGACUGCCAGUGAUAAACUGGAGGAAGGUGGGGAUGACGUCAAGUCAUCAUGGCCCUUACGACCAGGGCUACACGCGUGCUACAAUGGCGCAUACAAAGGGAAGCGACCUCGCGAGAACAAGCGGACCUCAUAAAGUGCGUCGUAGUCCGGAUUGGAGUCUGCAACUCGACUCCAUGAAGUCGGAAUCGCUAGUGAUCGUGGAUCAGAAUGCCACGGUGAAUACGUUCCCGGGCCUUGUACACACCGCCCGUCACACCAUGGGAGUGGGUUGCAAAAGAAGUAGGUAGCUUAACCUUCGGGAGGGCGCUUACCACUUUGUGAUUCAUGACUGGGGUGAAGUCGUAACAAGGUAACCC